CCGGGAACUCUAGGGAGACUGCCGGUGUCAAACCGGAGGAAGGUAGGGACGACGUCAAGUCAUCAUGGCCCUUACGCCCAGGGCGACACACGUGCUACAAUGGCCGGU
This 108-nucleotide ribosomal RNA is filed under the name uncultured Gemmatimonas sp. RNAcentral's name for it is "partial 16S ribosomal RNA". It matches the Rfam family "Bacterial small subunit ribosomal RNA", at positions 1131 to 1238 of the family's 1533-position model. The record is from RNAcentral. Lineage: Bacteria; Pseudomonadati; Gemmatimonadota; Gemmatimonadia; Gemmatimonadales; Gemmatimonadaceae.